RNAcentral lists this microRNA (23 nucleotides) under Marchantia polymorpha subsp. ruderalis. The record is from RNAcentral. Lineage: Eukaryota; Viridiplantae; Streptophyta; Marchantiopsida; Marchantiales; Marchantiaceae.
UUCCAGGUUUCGAAUUGUCAGAC